GCGGACUGUCAGGACAUGAGGAGCAUAGGGUCACCGAGUUCAGGACCCUCAUUUUAUGUCUGAGGCCAAGGAAAUCCAGAGAUAGGAAGGACUUGCUAAGAGUCCCAGAGUGGGGCCAGGUGGGCCAGCCCUGAACAAGGCCUCACCCCCACCCCUGGGUUCCUCAUCCACUUCCUCCCUGGAGGGGGCUGGGGUGGGUUUUGGGGCAAAGGCAGGGAAGAAAUCAGCCAGUCCAAACUGGACCACCAUCCACAGGUGUGCAGGAUAGAGGCAGAGGGGACAGGGUGUGGCGGCCCAGGCCUUCAACAGGUGAGGUCACUGAGUUCCAGAGAGGGUGGGGGCCCCUGCCCAAGGCCAAACACAAGCCCAGGGUUCCAGGGCAUCCCUGGUUCUCUGCCCGGUGGGAUUGGCUCCUGACCUGGUGAGUUCACCUGGUGCUGCAGAUGAGAUGUCUUCAUGGGAGGGGCCUUGGGGUUAAGGGAGCCGAUCCCCUGAUGGCUACAGAGAUUGGGCGUCCCCUUGCCAGCAGUGCCCACCCCUCCCCAUUAGCAAGUGCCCAGGGUCAACCCUGAGCUUCCACAAUCCCCAGCCCCAACGGCAACACUCACUCCUCAGCCCCUCCAGCCCACUGGGCUCCACAGUGCAGCCCGAUGGGGACAUAGUUUACCCCUCACCCUGACACCUCCCCGACAGCUUACAGCAGGUAUCCUGAGCUUUUGCUAUGUGCUGGGUCCUGUCUUGGGUUCCCAGUGCCCCCAGCACAUCCUGGAGCUUAGCAGGAAAGCUGCUUCCCUGGCACUCCUCAGACCUGGCACCCUUCCCCAUGCAGCAGCCCCUGGGACACCCCAUCCCCCUGAAAACCCUUGGUCUGCAGUGACUCGCUCAAAUAAGUGCAUGCUGCUGCCACCACAGACCAUUUUAGCAAGAGAGAGAGGUUCCGCUGCUAAUUUGAGGCUGACCUGUGCAAGGCCUGGCCAAAAAGUGAAGGGUAUGAGCUGGGCAUUGUGUUCUCAUGUGACAACCACCAGGAGAUGGCCAGGUUUUCUCUUCCUUGUCACAUGGGGCUUCCUGGGGAAGGCUGACGAUGGCAGGAGAUGGUCAAAAGGCCUUGACAAUUCAGUACCAUCCUCCUCUGACUAGUGAUAUUUUUUUUAAAAAGAGCCCUGCUGGGCACGGUGACUCGCACCUGUAAUCCCAGCACUUUGGGAGGCCGGGCAGAUCCCUCGAGGCCAGGAGUUCAAGACCAGCCUGGCCAACUUGGUGAAACUCUGUCUCUACUAAAAAUUCAAAAAAAUUAGCCAGGCAUGGUGGUGGGCGCCUGUAAUCCCAGCUACUAGGGAGGCUGAGGCAGGAGAAUUGCUUGAACUUGGGAGGCGGAGGUUGCAGUGAGCCGAGAUUAAGCCACUGCACUCUAGGCUGGGUGACACAGUGAGACUCCAUCUCAAAA
Molecule: long non-coding RNA, 1447 nt
Filed under: Macaca fascicularis (crab-eating macaque)
Lineage: Eukaryota; Metazoa; Chordata; Mammalia; Primates; Cercopithecidae
Description: lncRNA (ENSMFAG00000058789.1)
Source: RNAcentral